GAUGAACGCUGGCGGCGUGCCUAAUACAUGCAAGUCGAGCGAACAGACGAGGAGCUUGCUCCUCUGACGUUAGCGGCGGACGGGUGAGUAACACGUGGAUAACCUACCUAUAAGACUGGGAUAACUUCGGGAAACCGGAGCUAAUACCGGAUAAUAUAUUGAACCGCAUGGUUCAAUAAUGAAAGACGGUUUUGCUGUCACUUAUAGAUGGAUCCGCGCCGCAUUAGCUAGUUGGUAAGGUAACGGCUCACCAAGGCAACGAUGCGUAGCCGACCUGAGAGGGUGAUCGGCCACACUGGAACUGAGACACGGUCCAGACUCCUACGGGAGGCAGCAGUAGGGAAUCUUCCGCAAUGGGCGAAAGCCUGACGGAGCAACGCCGCGUGAGUGAUGAAGGUCUUCGGAUCGUAAAACUCUGUUAUUAGGGAAGAACAAAUGUGUAAGUAACUAUGCACGUCUUGACGGUACCUAAUCAGAAAGCCACGGCUAACUACGUG
RNAcentral lists this ribosomal RNA (497 nucleotides) under uncultured bacterium. RNAcentral describes it as "partial 16S ribosomal RNA". It matches the Rfam family "Bacterial small subunit ribosomal RNA", at positions 28 to 507 of the family's 1533-position model. The record is from RNAcentral.